Molecule: long non-coding RNA, 406 nt
Organism: Eurytemora carolleeae
Lineage: Eukaryota; Metazoa; Arthropoda; Copepoda; Calanoida; Temoridae
Exons: 2
Source: RefSeq, a predicted model, not a curated record
AUUUCCAUGAUUUCAUUGGAACAUUUCCAAAAAUAAAAAUAAAUGUUUUGAGGCAAAUUUGAUUUAAAUUCUGACCAGUCAGCUGUCAUUAAUUAACCAAUUCCCCGUCAGAAUGUCCACAAAAUAGUGAGGACUCCGGAAGUGACUAGAGCAUGUCCAAUUCACAUGAAGAUGAUCCUUGGCGGAAAUGCUCGAUUCACAACCCGGUACUCUUUGAUCCUUUAUCUGGUCAAUUCUAAGAGAAUUUAAUUCAGAACGUUUCCUUCAUUGUCUCUGCAAGCUGAAAUCGUUUGUGAAUCGGACUGCCACUCAAUAUUUUGUCGCUUUGAGUUUACAAUAUUCUCUUCAAGUUUAUAAAUUUCACUCAGCUGUUCGAUAAAUAAUAAAAUCAUGUUUAAAGAAUAUA